RNAcentral lists this transfer RNA (71 nucleotides) under Anaerolinea sp. RNAcentral's name for it is "tRNA-Trp". It matches the Rfam family "tRNA". Rfam says of the family: Transfer RNA (tRNA) molecules are approximately 80 nucleotides in length. Their secondary structure includes four short double-helical elements and three loops (D, anti-codon, and T loops). Further hydrogen bonds mediate the characteristic L-shaped molecular structure. tRNAs have two regions of fundamental functional importance: the anti-codon, which is responsible for specific mRNA codon recognition, and the 3' end, to which the tRNAs corresponding amino acid is attached (by aminoacyl-tRNA synthetases). tRNAs cope with the degeneracy of the genetic code in two manners: having more than one tRNA (with a specific anti-codon) for a particular amino acid; and 'wobble' base-pairing, i.e. permitting non-standard base-pairing at the 3rd anti-codon position. Lineage: Bacteria; Bacillati; Chloroflexota; Anaerolineae; Anaerolineales; Anaerolineaceae. The record is from RNAcentral.
AGGGGCAUGGUGUAAUGGUAACACAACGCUCUCCAAAAGCGUCAUUCAGGGUUCGAGUCCUUGUGCCCCUG